This is a long non-coding RNA of Triticum aestivum (bread wheat), 3890 nucleotides long. RefSeq lists it as uncharacterized. Lineage: Eukaryota; Viridiplantae; Streptophyta; Magnoliopsida; Poales; Poaceae. The record is from RefSeq and is a predicted model, not a curated record. The transcript is spliced from 3 exons.
GGCCUCUCGCCUUCUACACGGCCGCCCGCCACACGCCGCCUGCCCACCACUUGCCCCCCACCGCUUCGAGGGCUAGCCUCCCCGCAUCCCCCUUCGUUCCCGUCCCCGGUUGGGCCGCACGAGUGCCGCCACCACACCAUCAGGGGACACCGCGGGAGUGCAGCCAUCGCACCGCCAGGGUACGCCGCGCGUGCCGGUGAUGCAUGAGCCGCCGCUGGUGCUGCGCCGAUUGCCGCUUUCGACGAUGCAGGAGCCACUCAAUCCGACGAGGACGCGAGGCGCCUUCCGCAUCUGAAACUUCCGUAAUGUGCUCCUCCACUCCGCUUCUAACAUGUCGUUCGUCCCUGGCUCCCAGUGAUAUCCCUGCUCGAGGAACUCCUCUGCCUCAUCAGAUGUAGAGUUAAGAGUUCUUCCAUCUGCCCUCACCUCGCGACCUCUCCCCACGACCUACCACGCUCCCCCUGGAUUGGAUCCAUCAUCCAUGUGCUUAUUGGUGAUUCCAGGCUGUUGUGUGUGUAUUUGGUGAUGUCUUGUUACCCUUUGGGGGACAACUUUUUAGUUUCAGAAGAAUUGGGGUGCCGCUGAGUAGCAGGAAACUGCAAUUCGAGAAAUAUUACCGUGGUUGGGGCGCUUCUAAUGGUGGUUACAACAGCGAGGUUCAGAUCGACUGCCUAAGCUUACCUUUGUGCGAUCUAUCAAUUUUUUUCUCUAUAGAUGAUGCCUAUAUUUGUAAUCCCCAUAGACUUCCUUUUGCAAAAUGUUUGUAUCGUUCAUUUAUGUUAGUUCAUCCUGUACCUGCUGUAAUUUGUUACUGAGUUGAAGGGAUUGCAAUGUACAAAAUGAUACUUUUGCCAAGCAUCUAGGAGAGAAUCAACUUGUAUGAAAUUUUUAGCAUUUACUUCUGGAGAAAAUUUUAGUUAGCAAGUGCGGGUAAAUAUGAUGUGAUAGGAUAGGCCUCCUGCCACGCAGCCUCUUUUGCAGAGAAAAUGACAGUGUGAUUAGUAAUGAAUGGUACAAGGUUCCGAAAUUGACAUGAUAUUGUGUUUAAAUUUUCUUUACUUGAUCAUGUUACUUAUGGGCGAUUGCCAUAUUUUGACUUAGGUUCCUGAUUUCCUCACUUCUCCAGAGGCGAAGGCUAUUGUUCAUGCGCCAAUGUGAAGGUACCACUGCUUUUCAAUGCAAAUGUGAAGGCUUUCAAACCUUUUUGCAUGGUUUAUUUAAGUUUUGUGUGCUCAAACCAAUUACAUUCAGUGAAGGAAGAUCUUAAUGAGGAGUCGAACGUGCAGCCCAUCAACAUCAUUGUGACAAACUCUGAGCCUGGCGCUACCAUCAACAACCAAAUUUCAUGCUUUUGGAGUUGAGAGAUGAUUUCCUGGUGGAUUUGGCGGUGGUGAUGCUAUAGGUUCAACGAUGUGGGUGCUAGAAGAAGUGCAACUCUUAUCAACAGCGAAAGUCUACUCUUGACAAAGGCCAUGGUUGGUAGCUGGAUCCAAAACGCAAAGAAUAAAGGUUUAUUUUCCUGGAUCUCCUAUGUCGCAGCUGAUACUAUUGUGUUAUGUUGAAGUUUUAUUUUCACUGCUUCCCUUCAUCAUGUGUGAGCUGAGGUACAUUUCACUUCCACCCCCUUCUAUGCUCAAUACUCUUUCUAAAUCUAACAGGGUUCUUACCUGGAGUCUAUAUGUAUGUAGGAUUUUUGAUUGGGAGGGGGCCAGUGUUUGAUUAAUUUAUAGAAUGGUCAAACAUUUCAAGGAUGUCUGUUCCAAUUAAUUUCUAGAAUGCUCUGAGAGACAUAGAUGGAAAUUGCAAUUCUUUACUGUCAUUGUACAUUAUGUAGAUAUAUAUAUUUCACAAAUCUCUGGUCGAAUGUUUGAUCAGGGUUGAGACUCCAUCUCCUUUUGUUUUCUCAUCUAACAUUUUUGCUUUUAAAACACAGAAACUUGGCAAGAAUAAUUGAGAUGCACAUCCGAUUGUGUCAGCGGAUUGUUCCCUGAUUAUAUGGACCUAACGGAUUCAUCUGUAAUAAUGAUGCGGAAAGUAGUCAUACUCAGGAACCUAAAAGAAAAGUAGUCUCUUCCUGAACCAUUCAUGCAGUCAUGGAUGAUGCUAUGAUGCAUGUUCCUGCUUGAUAUAAAUCAGUUUGCAUGCUCUUUUAUUUUUAUAUACGGCCCUGUAUUGUAGUAGUACAAGUAUGUCUUAAUCCUUUUGUUUUAUUUAUCAAUUUUUUAUCCAGGGAUACAAUUUACUUCUACUCUCAUUAUUUUAAAGCUUAUCUAUUUCCAUGGCUCUACAGUUCCUUUGGAAUUCGUAAACAAUCUGAGCAGCUAAAAUAAAGUGGAUGUUGAUUCUCAAUAGUAAGGACCCAUUUCCGAAAUAUUAGUUGACGUGAAUCAUCUUAUGGUCCGCAUAUGCAUGUAACAGUAUCAUGGUAAGCUAGCUGUACCAGCACCGAUUACUUCCUUGACAAUCUUUAUGUGGAUCUCCUUGUGAAACAAUAUUUGUUAGUGGCGUCCCUUAUUCAUAUUAUGUUCUUUGUAGAAUUUUAUGUUGCAAACUGAACAAGAAUAGAUGACAACAGGACAGGAACCAAAAUAUAUCGACACGUAGCUUUGUUUUUGUUGAGUCACAUGUUUGAAAAACAACUGAAUUGUUCAAAUUUAACAGAGUUGUUUCUGUACUGCUUUUUUUACCGACCAUUUUCUAUAGAACGUCUUUCUCUAACCCUUAGUUUUUUAUUGGAAUAUACUGGAGUUAUAUUGGAAGCCACCUUUUGCUUUGGUAAUUUCAUGAAGUUCAGAUUUUGAUUUAUCACUGUUCAACAUAUUCGGUGUAGCAAGGGUUAUGAUGGGACACUGACGGGAGUGACAUCAUGUGAGUUCUUAGUGUGGUCAAACGUGCUAACGUGCUCCUCAACUUUAGCCUUGUGGUGUGGACGCUAACGUGGCCGCCGUAACGGCCACCACUUGUGGAAAAUGCAACGGACGUCGAGAGAUGCUCUUUACCCUUCCACUGCUUUCUGAACGUCGAUGACCAUCACUCUCCCUUUUAGCGCAUAUUUCGUUGUCUCUUCUUUUCCGCUCUCAAUCCUUGGAUUUUGUUCACCAUCACCCCUAAUUUGGAUCGCGGAUGACUCGAGCGAGCUUAUAAACUUGGCCAAGAGUAUCCUGUGGCAUGCUGAUGAAAUGAGCCGACUUUAAUCGCACAAUCCGUUUUGUGACUUGGGAUAUGCUAAUGAUUCAGAUUAGUAAGUUUCUUAUCCUAAUUCCAAGAUUGAUUAUUUAGGACUCAGAUCAAACCAUCCUUACAAGUUCAGGGAUUGCAAAAAACUUUACUCAAAAAAUUCCAAAGAUUAUACGUGCAUUGCACGUUUAUGUUACUAGUUUAUUUAUAGUGAACAUUUUUACUUCGUGAUAAUUAAAUAUAUUCCAUCCAUCUAAACAUAUAGGAUGAUAAUUUGUUUUUAAAGUUUCUUUGACCAUUCGUAAAAUUAAUAAUAUAUGAGAUGUAUCAUAUAAAACGUAUGUCUUUGAAAAUUUCUUUCACAUACGAUUUGAUGGUAUACUUUUUUGUAACACACACAUCACAUAUUUGUUGCACUAACUCGUGGUCAAAGGGAACCUCAAAAGAUGUAUUAUACCCUAUAUAUUUGAAUGGAGGGAGUAUGAUUUUUUAUAUACAUCAUUAAAUAAAUUAUUCUUAAUAUUAUUUGGUAUAAUAAGCGUAAUGAACAAUGGAAACACUCUCAUGUAUAUUAGAUAAUAUUGUUGUAGGCUUCCAAUAUUUGUCACUAGAAAUAUAUUUUCUAGCAAUAAGUAGAAUUUCUAGUUUUAUACAAAAAAAUGCAUUUAGUUCAGGAUGUUUAAGAAAUUUUGUUGUUACAAUAGUUCCAAUCA